RNAcentral lists this ribosomal RNA (600 nucleotides) under uncultured marine bacterium. RNAcentral describes it as "bacterial SSU rRNA". It matches the Rfam family "Bacterial small subunit ribosomal RNA", at positions 8 to 597 of the family's 1533-position model. The record is from RNAcentral.
AGAGUAUGAUCCUGGCUCAGAUUGAACGCUGGCGGCAGGCCUAACACAUGCAAGUCGAGCGGAAACGAAGAGGUGCUUGCACCUCUGGCGUCGAGCGGCGGACGGGUGAGUAAUGCUUGGGAAUAUGCCUUAUGGUGGGGGACAACAGUUGGAAACGACUGCUAAUACCGCAUAAUGUCUACGGACCAAAGUGGGGGACCUUCGGGCCUCACGCCAUAAGAUUAGCCCAAGUGGGAUUAGCUAGUUGGUGAGGUAAUGGCUCACCAAGGCGACGAUCCCUAGCUGGUUUGAGAGGAUGAUCAGCCACACUGGGACUGAGACACGGCCCAGACUCCUACGGGAGGCAGCAGUGGGGAAUAUUGCACAAUGGGCGCAAGCCUGAUGCAGCCAUGCCGCGUGUGUGAAGAAGGCCUUCGGGUUGUAAAGCACUUUCAGUAAGGAGGAAAGGUUAAGUGUUAAUAGCGCUUAGCUGUGACGUUACUUACAGAAGAAGCACCGGCUAACUCCGUGCCAGCAGCCGCGGUAAUACGGAGGGUGCGAGCGUUAAUCGGAAUUACUGGGCGUAAAGCGUACGCAGGCGGUUUGUUAAGCGAGAUGUGA